UACGUAGGGGGCUAGCGUUGUCCGGAAUCAUUGGGCGUAAAGAGCGUGUAGGCGGCCAGGUAGGUCUGCUGUGAAAACUCGAGGCUCAACCUCGAGAUGUCGGCGGAAACCAUCUGGCUAGAGUCCGGAAGAGGAGAGUGGAAUUCCUGGUGUAGCGGUGAAAUGCGCAGAUAUCAGGAAGAACACCCGUGGCGAAGGCGGCUCUCUGGGACGGUACUGACGCUGAGACGCGAAAGCGUGGGGAGCGAACAGG
This 253-nucleotide ribosomal RNA is filed under the name uncultured bacterium. Its description in RNAcentral is "partial 16S ribosomal RNA". It matches the Rfam family "Bacterial small subunit ribosomal RNA", at positions 524 to 776 of the family's 1533-position model. The record is from RNAcentral.